Long non-coding RNA from Bos taurus (domestic cattle), 2120 nucleotides. The record is from Ensembl. NCBI's taxonomy places the organism in Eukaryota, Metazoa, Chordata, Mammalia, Artiodactyla, Bovidae.
GCCACAUCCACAGGGCUGGAGCUUUGGGCCUGAGACUCAGGACCUAAAGUUUCCUUUUAGAGUCGGUCCUGGGGAUGCACAUGUGGAUUAAAUUAGAGCAAUAUGUUUUUCUAACAGCAUCUUGGCUGAAAAGCCAAGCAGAUAAAUGGAAACAAACACAGCUUUAUGUGAAUGAAAAGGGGCUGACGAGGCAGCCACUUCUGCCUGAAGCGCCACAGCCAGCAGGGUUGCCCUCCUGGGGUCUCCCCCUCCUCCCGCUUCCCCCUCCAGCCCUGACCCUGGAAGCAUUCACCAGAGGGCUCCUCAAGGCCCCUCACCCAGCCUCUGCCCUGGCUGAACUGGCUUCCUGCCCAUCUCCAAACCCGAUUUGUGCUGCCCACUCUUGACCACAGUCAUCACCUAUGCUGUGCUCUCUGUGCAGGUUGAUUGUGGCAGAACUGAGUUAAAUGGUAGGACAUCCAGCUGAUGUUGCAGACUUGCUUGCUGUGGGAACCGCCCCAGCCCCCCACCACCCCCACCACACACACACAUCUGGUGACCAGAAGCAUGAGAAGUGUUCCAUGUGAAAGUAAAGAGAAAGACGCAGGAGGAUGAAGGAGCAAGUUUUCUUCUUAAUAGAGAGAGAUUGCUAAGACAAUGACAAUGAAGUGUCUUAAGAAUCUGAAUUUAUAUUAAAAAUGUGAAAGUGCCAAACCUCAAAGCAAGUCCGUGGAGCCUAAAUAAGUGGAAUGGGAGUGGAGAAGAAACACGGAGGCGAGGUUGUGAUGUGGCGUGGCGCAGGAGGCCCUGUGGGCCUGCUCAUCUGGAAUUCUGCAGCGCGGUUGUGUGGGAUCACAACGCUUUCCGGCACUUGUUCAUAUCUUAUUGCCACGGGUGAGACGGGAAGCCAGCAGCAGCAUCCCACACAUUCAAAAGACCUGCAUUGCUGGUGGACGGCUUGGACCGGGUCUCUGUUGAGAAGUCCCAGUCAGGGGGAAGGGCUUAUCGCCCAGCAGGUCCCCCUUUUAUCUCCAUAAAGUGGGGACCCCCUGUCUCAGGGUCCUGCUAAGCACCUCCCUUUCUGGGGCAGUUUUUGUAGCUUGCUUUUCCACCAUCUCUCUCUCUAUAUAUAUAUAUAAAUGUAUAUCGUGGUGAUGCGUCCAGAUCUAGGUUAUUCAUUUUAAUUCCUGAAUAUAUUUCAUCAUAUGACUGUACUACAUUUUUUCAUUGGAAUAUAAUUGCUUUAUAAAGUGUUAGUUUCUGCUGUACAAUAACGUGAAUCAGCUGUGUGUAUACAUGUACUACAUUUUAUUUGUCCAUUGCUAAAUUAAUGAAAGUUUAGGAUAGUCCCGGUUUGGUGCUAAUAGACAAUGCUGCAGGUAACACAUUUUAGAUUUCCAUGUGCACCCAGCCUUGGGCACUCUGGGGAAUGUAGCUAAAAGCAGAACUUGCAGGUGAUGGGUUAGUGCAUCUUCGACUUGCUGAGUUCUUGCCCAAUUCACCUCCAAAUUCUGCCGUGAAGGUACAGUCCCACAGGGAACACAAAACCGGUCCCAUUUCCAACAUCCUUGCCAACAGCUGAUGUCAUCAGAAGAUUGUUACAUUUUGCCAUUCUUAUUUAUGUUGACCUAUUUAAUAGUAAGCUUGAAUAUCUUGUCACAUAUUUAUGGACUUCUUUUUUUCUCACCUAUGAUUUGCCUGAUGAUAUCCUGACGUUUCUAUUAGAUUAUUCAUAUUUUUCUUAUUUAUAACAGUUUGCUAAAUACUCUGGAUAUGAUUUUUGUUGUUGUUGUUAUAGGGGUUGUAAAUAUUUCCUCCAAGCUUGUGGACUGUGGGUUUUCUUUUGACUGGACUGUGGCUUUUUUUGUUUAUUUUGGUUUGGUUUUUAACAUUGCUAGUGGUGUCUUUUUGAUGUGCAGAACUUUAAAAUUUUAAUGUGGUAAAAGUCUCUCUUUCUUUUGUGGUUGGUAAUUUUUCUAUUUUAUUCAAAAAAUCCUUCUGUAACCUCAGUGACAUAAAAAUAUUUUCCUAUAUUUUUCUUAAUUCAAAUGGAUUGAGGCAUAAUUUACACACAAUAAAACGCACCCAUUUGAAGUAUAGUGCCUGCCGCAUUUUGACAAAUGUAUACGACCAUGUUGGAG